GAUGAAGAACGUAGCGAAAUGCGAUACGUAAUGUGAAUUGCAGAAUUCAGUGAAUCAUCGAGUCUUUGAACGCACAUUGCGCCCCCUGGUAUUCCGGGGGGCAUGCCUGUCCGAGCGUCAUUGCUGCCCUCAAGCUCAGCUUGGUGUUGGGCCCCGCCGCCCCGGCGGGCCCUAAAGUCAGUGGCGGUGCCGUCCGGCUCCGAGCGUAGUAAUUCUUCUCGCUCUGGAGGUCCGGUCGUGUGCUCGCCAGCAACCCCCAAUUUUUUUCAGGUUGACCUCGGAUCAGGUAGGGAUACCCGCUGAACUUAAGCAUAUCAAUAAGCGGAGGA
Molecule: unclassified non-coding RNA, 329 nt
Filed under: soil metagenome
Description: partial contains 5.8S ribosomal RNA, internal transcribed spacer 2, and large subunit ribosomal RNA
Rfam family: 5.8S ribosomal RNA (bases 1-120)
Source: RNAcentral